CUUCGACCAAACGAAUAAAAACCGGAGCUUCUUUCUGUUCUCUCCCUUUGGACAGGGCUCGGUGGGGCUGGAGUCCAUAAAACCUGAAGUGACUCCUCCCGAGCGCCCUUGGGCUCUCCUGUCUCUUGGAAGUGGACAGCAGGGCCACAGGUGUGCGCCACCACAGCCACCCGAGCCAGAUUCCCCUCUGCUGAGAAGCCCGGGCUGUGGGCGGCCUCCUCAGCCUGCGUCUGCUGGGCCGGGCCCAGACGUGGACCAGCCCCCUCGCUGGAGGAGGGAUGCAGCUCUGCCCUACGAGGUCAGCAACCAGAAGGUUCGGACCCAGCAGAGCAGGGGCAGGGGGGCCGGGGGGCCGGGAGCCCAGCGGGCUGGCGGGGAGCGGAGCGGGCCUGGGCCGCACAGCUGGUCGGCUCCCUGGGCGGGCGCUGUGGCCGGGUCUCCGGAAGCCAGGGGGCGGAGGACGCUUCACCCCAAAUUCAGGCUGUGCGCCACCCCAGCCUAAGCUGCAGCCUAACCCACUCUCACCCUGCGACCCCGGAGACCCCGGAGGCCCCAAGGAUGGGACACAGCGUGAGCCCUGUCCCUGCCUCGCCCCCUGCGUCCCUCCGGGGGUGGAAGCGCUGGCUUCGAGCUGUGACAAAGGACAUUACUUCAGAUGGCCGCUCAGGGCGGCCUCUCUCGGGUGACUCCGGUGCCCACCUUGAUGACCCGCCAUGGAGACCGGGGCACUUUGGAGAGCACAGAGGCCCCGAGAGUCCCCGAGAAGUGGGCAGGAGAGGAGGGGCGGCCCGGGCAGGCUGUGGGAGCCAGCAGAGUCCCAGCAGGAGCAACUCCAUCUGGGUGCUUUGACAAAGGUCUGCAGAGUCCUCCGGGAGAGGCGGAUCCCUUCCCGGAGUGUUUACACGGUGUCGGUGUCAUUAAGGCUCUUGGUGACAGGAAAGCAGUGCUCCCCAGCCCCCGGUCCCAGCCAGCAUGGUCCAGAAAGGGGUCCAUGCCAGGGCCCUGACACCCGUUGCCCUGCCCAGUGUGCCUGGGAAGCUGUCCCUGUCGACUUUGGCUGGGGAUGGUGGCGCACACCUGUAAUCCCAGCACUGGGGAGGCUGAGGCAGGAGGAUCACCAUGAGUUCGAGGCCAGCCUGGGCUCCAUAGUGAGGCCCUGUGUCAAAACCAAACCAAAACAAACCAAAGAAGGCACCUUUGGAACAGGUUCCACUGUGGGUUCCAGGCACCCCUGGAGCACCUGCCUGGACAGGUGCCCAGAGCAGGGUCCCCUCAGGAGAGGCGUGGGCAUGGCGGCUCUGCCUGCCCUGCUCCUGCAGGGUGCCCCGCGCUGCCCUUCCGCUCUGAGCACCCAGGGUCCCAGCAGAGGAGCCCGGUGCUGGUAACACGGUCCCCAGGUAGGAGGAAGGAUGGAAUCUGUGCGGCAGGAAAUAGCGAAGCAGACUGACUCGGGCUGGAGCGUGGAAAUGUGGCUUUCAUCUGAGAAGUCCGUGUGGGGCCCACGCCGGCUCCAGAGGGGAAGUGGGGCUCAUGAGUUAGACCUGCAGCCGGGACACUGGCUCGGACUCCCAACACAGCAGCGCUCAGAAACUCUGGCCUGGAAACAAAAGUCCAAAGUAACAAGGUGUCCAGUGAGAGAAACCCUGCCUGUGGGGCUUCUGUGUACUUCUCCAUACUUUCUUGAAAGUGCUGCCAAAGUCAGGCCACUGUUAGACCCACAGUUCUGCUGCUUGAGCCGGUCAAGCUCGUACCACAGGGCCUUUGCACAUGGCAGGCUUGCGGCUGGACUGUCCCCUCUACCCUCCCCUGGUUGGCUCCUCCCCAGUCAGCUCUGUCCUCAAAUAUCACCUUCCCAGAGAAGCCCCACCCUCCCCCACUCUCAAAUUACUCUGAUCGUGUUUAUUUUUCAGUAUUUGAUGUUAUUUUUGGUUCUCUGUAUCUGCACAUUUCACAACUGUGGCUCAAAAAUGUUUUUUACAAAAGGUACAUAUGUGGGCCGGGGAUUUAGCUCAGUGGUUCCGCUGCCUGACUUGCAAGCGCAAAGACCUGAGUUCAAUUCCCAGUACCAAAAAAAAAAAGGGGGGGACAUUUGUAUUGAGCAUGUAUGUGCAGGGUUUUUUUCUUGUCAGAAUUCCCUAAGCAAUGUGGUAGAAGAAUUAUUUGCUUAGCAUUUACUUUGCGUUGGGUAUCAUAAAUCACCUAGAGAUGAUUUAAAGUGUACGGGAGGAUGUAUGUUGAUCAGAUGCAAAUGUGGUGUCAUUUCCUGUGUAUCUGAAAUUAUUCUGCUGAGAACAGAGUUUAGACCCGUGGUAGCUCAUGUGCUUAGCAUGUGCCGGGUCCCGGUUUCAAUUCCUGGCACGAAACAAAAACAGAAUUUUUUUUAAAAAUUAUGUUUGCUGGCUGGUGAUUUCGCUGGGUGCCUGUACCCAGCCCCAGAAUGCACUUCCUCGAGCCAGAGCCCAGAGUUCCUGUCCACAGGCUCAGAGGCACUCAAUGAGCACUCCGGUGCCCGGAGGGACAGGUCAAUAAAGCUUUGGGCUAGGGCCGGGGUUGUGGGCUUGGAUCUGUUUUCAGAUGCUUCUGGCUGGAGGCCCAGGAGCACCAAUGCCGAGGUUGGACAAAGGAGACAUUUAUUAGUUCCACAAACCAGGAGGUCCUGGGAUGGGGGGCUCCCGGGGCCUCAGUUCCAGGCCCCAGUUUCCUGCUUCCCGCUGGGUACAUGGUGGUCUGGCACCCAGAGAAGAAAGGAAGCCGCUGCCUUGUGUCCCUUUAUAUUAGCAGGAAAAUUUCCCAGAAUUCCUCCUGCACAUACUCCUAUAUGUUAUUGGGCAGCAUUUGGUCACAUGUCCAGCCCUCAGCCAAUCACACUGAGAGGAAUGGUGUUCCCAACACUGGUUUAGAACCAACAGGAGUGUCUCUUUUCUCCUUUCUCUUUUUCCCUGUGGUACUGGGGAUAGAAGCUUGGGCCUUCACAGGUUGAGCUUGUACUUUUAAUCCUCCUGACUCAGCCUCUCAGAGUGCUGGGAUUACAAGCUUGUACCCCAUGCCUGGCUAGAAUUUCCUUCUGCUGGGUUAGAGGUCCCUUUUCAAAGCAUCUCUGACUGCUGGGAGAAAAGUAGAUAGAUCCUCUGCCUUCAAGAGAAAAGAGGAGAGGAGGGAAUGAAUUUUGGGAAAGUAACUGACGGUGUCUGUCAUCAUGCAUGUUUAUUUUUUUAAUCUAAAAUUGGUUUUUUUGUUUGUUUUUGGUACCGGGAAUCAAACUCGGGACCUUGUGCUUUUGAGGCAGGAGCUGGAACCACUGAGCUAAAUCCCCAGCCCUAAAAUUGUUUUUGAGACAGGGUCUCGAGAUGUAGUCCAGGCUGGCUUUGAACCCAGAGCCAUCCUCCUGCCUCAGCCUCCCAAAUGCUGGGAUCACGGGCGUGUGCACCACCAUGCCCAGUCACACAUGUUUAUUUUUAAACUGUAAUUCUUGAGAAAACCCCUUAAGGUAUUGUUUGUUCCCAUCAGCAAAUAUCUAAUAUUUAGCUACUGAGUAGAUAAUUUUUAACACCCCCUUCUAAAUAAUAAUUUUCAGUAAUAAAUAAUUAUGAUUAUUGGUAAUCAACAUUUGGUUAAUUCCUUCUUUAGUGUUUAAAUGAAAAGAAGGAUACAGGGCCAGGGAUUUAGCUCAGUGGUUUCGCCACCUGCUGUGCAAGCGCAAGGCCCCGAGUUCGAUCCCCGGUACCAAAAGAGACAAAUAAAAAAAACCCACAAAACUUUAACGUGAUCUCGAAAAGAAGAAUACAUUUCUGUUUUAAAGAUAUUUACUUGGCCAGGCAUGGUGCUGCACAUCUGUGAUCCCACCUCCCAGGAGGCUGAGUGAGUUCAAGGCCAGCCUGGACUACAUAGUGAGACCCUGUCUCAAAAACAAACAAACAAACAAACAAACAAACAAAAGACAUUUACUUAAAUUCAAUGAAAUGCGCUUUCCUGUGUGCACGCGUGCAGGGCGGCUGCGCCUGUGUGGGAACAUCGCAGUUGUUGGAAGGCUGGCGAGACGCUGUGCUGACUGAAGGCAAAGUGCACAUCGCAGGGACGUGGUGGUACUGCCACACUCUCUCCCCGCUGCGCCAGGUUAGCAAAAAGCGGCUCAGGCUUCUGCGGCUGCUGCGAGUCCAUCUUGGGCACUCAGCUGUGCCAUCUUGAGGAACACGCACACCCAAAUGCCAGGGACACUCACUGGAGGCCCAGGGUGCCUCAAACUUGACACCCUCCUGCUCCAGCCUCCCACAGUGCUGGGGUGGCAGGCGGCCACCAUCAUGGCCAGCCCCAAUAAAACUUUAUUUAUGACAACAGGCUGGGGACCAGCUUGGCCUGCUGAGGAAGUCCCCUGAGUCUGGCUGUAGAACUGAGACCAGUGUGAGGCACUGUUUGGGGCACAGUUUGUUGCUGAGGGCAGGAAGCGCAGUCUCCUUGUGUAACCAUGACUACCGUCCAUCCCAGAACUCCUCACCUUCCAAAUAUGAACCCCAGGACCUUUAGACCCCAAUUCCCCUGCCUCUGGGUCCCACCCACCUGCCCUAUCUCCACGUGUCUGACUCCAGGGACCUCAUGCAAAUGGAGUCACACAGUAUUUAUCCUUCUGUGACUUGCUUAUCUCACUGAGCACAAUGUCUUCUGGGUCCAUCCAUGUUGUAACAGGUGUGGGAACUUCCUUCCUCUUCUGGGCUGUAUAAUAUUCCCCUGCCCAGAGUCCCUGGGCUGCCUCUGCCUUGGGCCCUUACUAAGCAGGGACACAAACAUCUGUUUCUGCCCUUCUUCUUGGUUCUUUGUGCCCCAUACCCAGAAGUAGAUUGUUGUGUUCUGUGCUCAUUCCAAUUUAAGGUUUUGAGAGCCACUACCUGGCUGCCACUGCACCCGCACCAUCUUGUGUCCCAUCAGCAAAGCCCGACUUCAUGCUCCUCCUGUCCUCCCAGGUUCCUGUCUCUUCCUGUUUCUCAGCUGUUGUCCCAGGGCGUGGACAGCCAGAUUACCUGGUGGCUUUGCUUUGCGUCUCCCUGCAGAUAAGGGACAAGUCCCUCCACACUGUCCUCUCCCACGUGUGCCCUCCAGGCAGGCCGAGGAGGCUUGCGGCAGCGAGGAGGUGGCCCCUGCCUCGGGUGUCACCCUCCCAGCCACGAAGCAGGAAGCAGGCCAGGGCCUCACUCUGAAGUUCAGGUGGCCUGGAACUCACUAUAUAACCCAGACUGGUCUUGAUCUCCCAGAGAGCCUCCUGCCUCAGCCUCCUGAGUGCUAGGAUUACAAGGUAAAUGCACACUGGCAGCUCUCUGAGCCCACACAGUGGACAUCAGCCCUGUUUUACCUCCAGACCCGCCCACCACCAUUCCCCGGUCCCCUCAAGCCUCCUAGGAGCUGGGCCUGUCUUCCCUGCAUCCAUGCAGGAAGCAGAUGUGUGCGUAGACCCGAAGGUGUGAAGAUGGUCAUCAGAGGGUCACCGCGGUGCAGGAACAAAGCAGGGUGGGAGUGGGGGCUCCGGGUGGGAGGAGGCGCGGGGGAUGUGGGCUUGGGGACCUGGGGUCCAGACUGGGCUCCCACAGGACCUGGGGGUUCGGUUUCCUGUAGCCACGCUGCCAGAGGUGGGCAGGGCUGCGCCCCUUCUCGGGGGCCCUGGAGGAGGCUCCAGCCCGAGGGUCAGGCGGCAGCUUUGGUCCCCGCCUCUUCCUCCUCCUCUUCUUCCUUCCCGUAUUGGGGACCGAAUCAGGGCGGUGCACCCCUGAGCCAGCCCAGCGCUGGUUAUUUUAUUCUGAGGCAGGGUCCUGACGAAGUUGCCAGGCUGGCUUCCAAGGUUUGAUCCUCCUGCCUCAGCCUCCAGAGUAGCUGGGGUGACGGGUGUGUGCCACCACGCCUGGCUCACUUCUGCCACAUUUCUUGGCUGAAGCAGGUCACAAGCAAUCAGGCAAGCUUCCGGGGGACAGCAGACGCUUGGUGGCAAGGACACAAAGGUGUGCGGCGCCUUUCAUCUACUGCACAGGGCAGAGUGGGGAGGAAGGCUCACGCUCCCGGCCCCUUCCUCAGCUCCUUCUCCAUUUUCCUGUGGUGCCAUUGUCUCUGCUUUCAAAACCAUGAGCUCCAAGGGUGCCAGGAUCAUGUCUGCUUUGUCACCAUGGGUCCCUGCUGCUGGUGCUAUGUCUGGCAUAGGGCGGGGCCCUGAAAUCUUGUCGAGUGCCUGAGCCUCUCCUGACAGGACCCACGUCAGUCAGCUGUACAUCACGGUGACCAAGUGCCCCGGAAAGUCAGCUUGAAGGAGGGAAGGGUGAUUUUGGCUCACAGCUUCAGAGGGUGCAGUCCACGGCAGGGUGCUUCAGGGGCGGAAGAUGGUGGCAGAAGGGCCUGGCCAGGGGAGUUGCUCGUAGCCUUGGCCGGGAGGGAGGGCAUGGUGGACGGUGUAACCUAACAUUCGGGAGGCUGGGUGGGAGGAUUGUGAGUUUGGGGCCAGCCCAGGGAACUUAGUGAGACCCUCUCUCAAAAUAAAAAGGGUCCAGGGCCCGGGGAAGUAGCUCAGUGGUAUCGCCGUCUGCCUCGCAAGGGCGAGGACUGGAGUUUGAUCCCCGGUACCAAAAAAAAUAAAAUAAAAUAAAAAAAUUAAAAGGGUUCAACCCCCAUUACUGAAAAGACAGAAAGGAAACACAACAGUAGAGGAAACUCUCACACACGCAUUCUUUUCAUGGCCUGGUCCUUCUUCCCUUGUUUCUUUCUUUUUCUUCUUUUUGUGUUAGUGGGGGUUGAACCCAGGAGUGCUCUACCACUGAGCCAUAUCCCAGCCCUGCCCUUUUUAUUUUUUAUUUGGAAACUUCCCGGGCUGGCCUCAAACCUGCCACCCUCCUGCCUCAGCCUCCCGAGUGCUGCUGUACUCCCAGCCCAGAAGCCAUACUUGCAUCUGUGUUUUGUUUUGUUCUUGUGGUGCUGGGGAUGGAACCCAGGGCCUCGCCCAUGCUAGGCGAGCCUUCUCCUACUGAGCUACAUCCCUAGCCUCGGUUUCCCCACUCCCAAGUCAGCUGGGACAGAGGGGACCCACCUGUCCUGCUCACAUUCUGCCUGCAGCCCUGAAGGUAGUGAGUGCGCGGGCAGUGCCGCUCACAGACGGGUGAGUGUGCACCUGGGCAUGUCCACAGCAGGGCAGGUGCAGCUCCACUCCGCAGCUGGCCAGGUCCGCCCCGGGCUGGGACCUUUGUCCUGGCCGUGCCCAGCGGUGAUAGCACAGGUCCUGGGGCGGGCAAAGGUCUGCUUCGACUGCCAGCCCCGGGGACGGGGACCCUUCUGCAGGUGCCCAUGGGCAGCAGCGAGUGAUGCAGGCCGGCGACAGUGAGGGACUCAGGCCCUCCAGGGUUUUAGUCCAUCGGGGCUCCCUUGACAGAGGGGCAGAGACAUUCAGCCCCCAGCACAGGGCAAUGGCCCAAGUGGGGCAGGUCCAGGGGCAGAGCCCGAGUCCUGGAGGGGAAACCAGCAGCUUGCUGGUCACCUGUGUCCAUGCGGGACCUGAGUAUUUAAUCACAGGUCACCCUGCACCUCCUGCCCCAGGGCCUUUGCACCAGCUGCACCACUGCCUAGAACGCUCCUCCUGCGGAGGAGUCACCUCAGAGAGGCUGUCCCCAACCAUCCCACUGCCCCUGGUGGCCCUGACUGUCUUCAUUCUUCUCCUUGAAGAAGCAGGCGUCACCCGGUAACAGCACCAUCUAACAGAGACCUAACGAGAGACCACACGUGCAACUAACUCUGCAUGGCUGGGAUGGGCCCCAGGGCCUUUGUACCUGCUGGACAAACGCUCUACCCCAGAGCCUCUGCCCCAGCCCUGCAUAUGCAAUUUAACUGUCAGCAGCCACGUUUUGCAAAACAAAAAGAAAAACAAAACAAACAAAUCCGGUGAAAUGAAUUGUAAGUCUUUUAAAAACCGCACAGGACCAAAUGCUGCCAUCCCAACAUGGGUGGGUGUAGGAGACGGAGAGUGUUUGCCGGUCUUCCUUCCAUCCAGGUCUUUGCGGUGUAGGAGCCCCGGGCGUCUGGUGCGCCCGGGCCCUGCCGCACGCGGCUCUCGCGGGACUCGGGUGGCGAGCGUGCUUCUCCCUCACUGUCCUUGCUCGGCCGUGGACGUGGGCGCCCUGGGCAGCGCGGCUCCCGCUCGCCGCCCGCACAGCAGCAGCAGCAGCAGCAGCAGCAGGUGCGCGCCCCCUCCCACCCUCUGGCGCCCUCGGCUGGCGGUCGGCCGCGCGCCUUCCUCCUCUUCCUCGUCCUUCCCCACCCUGCUCUGCCUGGGGCCCAGCGGCCAUAGUGUAGCAAGCCGCUGUCUCAAAAUAAAACAGAAAGGACCGGGGGCGGCUCUGGGGGCUCCACGCAGGGUGACUGCCUGGGGCGCACAAGGCCCUGGGCUCGGUGCCCGGCAUCCCGGCCCUGAGAAAGGCAGACAGCGACAGGGCAGGGGCGGAAAGUCCGGCCCCACGCCUGCUGGGGACAAGGGUGGGGGGGAUGGGGCGCGGGGUGGGGGUGGGGGGUACAAAGGCCCCGGGGCAGAGCAGGAGCAGGUCAGAGGUUUCCUAGGAAAUGGGAGACUGUGGGAAGAGGGGAAGAAAAUAAAGAAAAGAACUUUUAUUGAGAUGUAAUUUGCAUAUAGUAAAUUCCGGCAUUCUAAUUAUUUAUUUAUUUAUUCAUUGGUAGUGGGGAUCGAACUGGGGACCUUGCGCUUGCGAGGCAUCACUGAGCUAAAUCCCCAGUCCUAUUUAUUUAUUGUUGUAGGUGUUUGUUUUCUGCUCGUUUUUUUGAGACAGGGUCUCACUAUGCAGUUCAGGCUGGCCUCGAACUCAGGGGACUCCCCCUGCCUCAGCCUCCUGAGCGCUGGGAUCACAGGCUGUCCACCCCACGCCAGGCUGGACAGCUCAGUGGCUUUAGUACACACCGAGCCGUCUGCCCACCACCACAAUCGAUGUGAGAAGAUUUUCACCUCUCCAGGGAAGGAGCUGCAUACCCCGGAGGAGCCUGUCACCCUCACCCUCCCCGGCCUGGCCACCAGGGGUCGAUUUCUGUCCCCUCGUCGUGCCUGUCCCCGACUCCUCAGAGAAACGGACCCCCCAGCAGGUGGCCCUGCAUCCACCUGUGACACCAGCGAUGUCCACCAGGCCCACGUCCGCCUCCCUCGCUGGCCCGAGACACAGCCGCUGUGCACCAUGGGGCCGCGUGGAUGGGCUGUGUUCCGCGUCUACCCCCAGCCGGGAGCCAAGUGGGUUUUGUGCAGAGACAAUCUGGGGGCAAUUUGAUGAGCAUGUGCUAUAAAUUCUUGCUAAUUUGCCCAGGCUGGGCUUGAACUUGCAACCCUCCUGCCUCAGCUUCCCGGAGUGCUGAGAUUACAGGAUCUCACUAAGUUGUCCAGGCUGACUUCAAACUUGCAAUCCUCCUGCCUCAGCCUCCCGAGCAGCCAUCCUCCGAGCUGGUUUUCGCAGGACCCUCGACCCCUAGUGUGGUCACUCUGUCCCUUCUCCUGUGGCCGCCUCUCAAGACUUCUCUGGGUGACGGCACCCGUAUCUCCCUCCCUCGGCCGCUGUCCCCACCAAGGUCCCGAGGCUGGCCACGUGCGUCCAACCCCCUUUCAUCUCUGCCCUCGCGCUUGUCAGGCACCCACGUGGCAUUGGCACUGUGGCCCUGGGCCCGGCCUUGGGCUCUCUGAGGUCAACACCACGCACAUCUGGACCUUGAGGACAAGUGGCCCGGGUAAGAUGGCCAGGGCAAGCUGGGGCCAAAGGAGGGGGUGGCAUCAGGCCCAGGCCGGCCAAGGCCUCAGCAAAGUGACUCCCCCUUUCCAAGGACCGCCAACAUCACUAGGACCACAGCAAUCCCUAGUGCAAGGAAUCAAUAAAUGUGUAUUAAUUCAGGAGUUGCUACCUGAUGCCUAAUGCAUGAAUUCGCUAACUGAUGACUUCAAGCAUUCACCGAGUACCCGCCUGGUUGUGAGAGAGGAGAGACCAGCGUCUCCCUCCAGGAACCUGCAGACAGAGUGGGUGACUUGCCAUCGAGAGGGCUGGAGCUCAAGUGUACAGCAGACUAAACACUGAAGGAUUUUUCUGAGGAGUGGGCUUUGGGCUGAGACCCGGGAGAGAAGGAGUCAGCCACAGUGGGACCUAGGGUGAGAGUAUUUUAGAAGUGAGAACAGCAAGUGCAAAGGCCCUGGGGCAAGAGAAAGCUGGGGCUGUCUCAGGAGCAGAGAGAAAGUGAGGAUGAAAAAAAAAAAAUAAAAAUAAAAAUAAAUAAAUAAAAAAGCGAGGACACUGGGGUGGAGGGGGAGAGGGGCCUUGGAUGGCAGCAGGGGCAGCCACACGAUCCAGAAGCUGCCACCAAGGGGUUCAGUCCUUACCACAGCCCUGGGGACAUCGGCACGAAGACUGGAGUCUCAGGAAGGCCCUGGACUAGGGCGGGAGACCAGAGGUCGGAUUCCCUGGAAGCUGACUCUGCUGACACCCUGGGCCCAGCCACGGGAAGUCAGGGGUUGGCCAGGCCUCCGCGCUGGACUGCAGGUUCGAGCCCAGGCUGGGCAGCUGAGCAACUCAGGGAGAUCCUGUCUUAGAAAAAAAAAGCUGGUGUGCAGCGCAGCGCAAAGGCGCGGGGUUAGAACCACGCCGGGUGGUGCCGGGUGAUAAAGCUGAGGCCCGGAGGGCUCUCGGAUAAGGCGCCCCGCUGGGCGAGUGGGCCGCGGGGGCGAGGCAGCAGUGAUCUGCUCCCAGGCGAGGCCGGCAUGGAGGGCGUGGGCACGGGGGUGGGGGGGAGGUGGAGACCCGGUCCAGGCUUUGGGGUCCGGCUGAGCUAGCCAAGGCCUCCUUGGUGUGAGCAACGAGGGCAGUUGGUCCCGGGGCGGCUCCCGCCCAAACCGGCAGGGGCGUGGCCGGGGCCUGACAUGCCUCCACCCUUCGCCAACCCGCACCAACCCCCACGCCCACCCUCUCCUCGCCACGCCCCAGUCAGACCGUUGCCCCGCCCGCUGGUCCUUUCCCCGCC
Heterocephalus glaber (naked mole-rat) is the source of this 11013-nucleotide long non-coding RNA. NCBI's taxonomy places the organism in Eukaryota, Metazoa, Chordata, Mammalia, Rodentia, Bathyergidae. The record is from Ensembl.